Molecule: ribosomal RNA, 468 nt
Filed under: uncultured bacterium
Lineage: Bacteria
Description: partial 16S ribosomal RNA
Rfam family: Bacterial small subunit ribosomal RNA
Source: RNAcentral
GACGAACGCUGGCGGCGUGCUUAACACAUGCAAGUCGAACGGAAAGGCCCUGCUUUUGUGGGGUGCUCGAGUGGCGAACGGGUGAGUAACACGUGAGUAACCUGCCCUUGACUUUGGGAUAACUUCAGGAAACUGGGGCUAAUACCGGAUAGGAGCUCCUGCUGCAUGGUGGGGGUUGGAAAGUUUCGGCGGUUGGGGAUGGACUCGCGGCUUAUCAGCUUGUUGGUGGGGUAGUGGCUUACCAAGGCUUUGACGGGUAGCCGGCCUGAGAGGGUGACCGGCGACAUUGGGACUGCGAUACGGACCAGUAUCCUACGGGAGGCAGUAGUGGAGAAUAUUGCACAAUGGGGCGAAGCCUGAUGCAGCGACGCCGCGUGCGGGAUGCUGGCCUUCGAGUUGUGAACCGCUUUCGCAUGUAACGAAGCGUGAGUGACGGUAAUGGGUAAAAAAGCACCGGCUAACUACGUG